CUGAGCUUCUUCUAGGACAGAAGACACCUUUCUCUUCUGGGGCCCAUAAAGGAGCUAGAUAUCCCCAGCCUCAGAAGAAUCAUGACUAAUCUAGGCUAGGAAACAGUAGCUCCUAAAACAGUUAAGAAAUUAAGCAUUGGACUAGGUGAUUUUCUUCCAAUCUCACUUUUGUGGAUACAAAAGAAGGUCCCUGUUUUUUUGCUGGCAGAUCUGCAGCCUAAAGGAAGGAACUCAGCUCAGGUACUCAACAAUGCAUGCUAAGCAAGUUUCCUGAAGUUGGUUUGAAUCUUCUAACCACAAAACAUCUUAGGAGCAUGGAACUCCGUCCCUUCCUCCUUCCCCACCCCCACUACCCCAUGGGAGCACACGUUUUUCCAGCCAGACAAAGAAAGAAACAAAAUGGAGUGAAACCGAGCCAGAGAGCCAAAGUUUCAUUAGGGACAUCUGAAUAUAACUGUCUAUGUAAGAGAAGCUUAAAUUCAGCAAAGAAGAGUCUAGAAGAGGUGAGUCAUGUGUAGCAUAAUCAGGGAGCCUGAGGCUUGAUAGGGUCCCACCACAAAAGUGAAUGGAGCACUGGACUGGCCUUCAGAAGACCUGGGUCUGUAGCUUAAGCAAGUGACUGAACCUCCCUGUGCCCGGUUUUCUCUUCUAUACAAUGAAGGGGUUGAACUAAAAGUCUUCUGAAGUACCUUCGAGCUCUAUAGCAAUGAUUCUAAAUCUACAAGAUUAUCCUUUCCAGCUCUAAAAUCCACAUGGACCACACCAUUUGGACUGUACUUCAUAACAGAGCAUUAUUGCCAUCUGGUGGCCAUUACUUCUAGUGCAGGCCCGAGGCCCCCGGAGAGCUCCUGCAGACCACCCAUAUGUGGGUAAUGCUACUGGUGCCAUCUAUGUUCAGAAGAAUAUACCACUUGAAGGUUGGACUUGGUUUUUCCAUCCCAUGUAACAGGGUUUAUAACAGCAACUGCAUCAUGGGACAUCUCAAAGACCCACAGAGACAAAUAAAACACCACAGACACACUUAGGUUGAUACUUC
Molecule: long non-coding RNA, 1036 nt
Filed under: Vombatus ursinus (common wombat)
Lineage: Eukaryota; Metazoa; Chordata; Mammalia; Diprotodontia; Vombatidae
Description: lncRNA (ENSVURG00010000433.1)
Source: RNAcentral